UAAGGCUUUUGGUAUUCCUAUGAGUCCAUCCAUAUGUCUCGAAACGGAUGCUUUAGGAAAAGAUGUUAAUGAAGCUCUCUAUUGUGGAAUGAUUGGACCCUACUCUUCUUUUUAUACUUCCUCUCCUUUUCUUGUCUCUUAUUCUCACUUGCUCGUGACUCAAACAAGAUCCAUGGCGUCUCCAGCCUCUCCUUCAUCUUUUUUUUUGACUCUCUUGAACACGAUGUUCUCUCCCUCGCUUUUGAUUCUGAUGCUCUUUCAUCUUUCUCAAAGAAGAGAUCAUCUGUCACCAAGAAGAAGGCCUCAAAGAAAGCUCGUCAAGACUCCUCCAGUUCUUUAUCUCCUGAGGACAUGUAUCAUUUCUGGGGUGCUGAUCAGAAAGUCAAAUUUGCAGCUUUCAAAAAUCGUCCCAUUAUACUUGGAUGGGUCAUCAACUUGGAUCAGUUGAAGGAAUAUCUUUAUUAGGUCUUUCUCUAGUAUGGGCUACAUACAGGUAGGUGAUCAGUGGCACAAAAACUCUGUCAAAGCAAAGGCAGACACGGUUCGUGUGACUAAGGUAUCAGUCGACUCUAUCAAUCUGUUGUUGAAAAACAUGGACGAGGUCAAAAAUAGGUUGCUCGUGAUUGAGGAGAAUCUACAGGUAUUUUAGGAGUCUACAAGUAAAAUUAUUUAGCUGCACAAGGAUACUAGCACAGACGUUGGAAAGCUACUCCUGGUUGUGGAUGGUCUCAAACAAGAAGGUGUUUCCACUGUUAACAAGCUAAUUCAACAAGUUGACUUUCUUCGUAUCGGAGUCGUCUCUUCCAAUACAAAUUUUGUUUUCUCUGUCCACACCUUUUACUCUAACUUUUCCAAAAAUGUGGAACGCUCUUACAAUACCUUCUGCAGGAAUGUUCUUAACACUCUAAAGUAUGAGUCCGUUUGGAUAGACUUAAAAAAAAUAACUUUUAUAUAUGAAGUGUUUUUAAAUUUUGAAGUGCUGAAAAUUAUUUUUAUAAAUAAGCAGUUGAGUAUUUGGUUAAAAGUGCUUAAAUGAGCAAAAUGAUGUGAAUUUUAGGGUUAAAAGAAUAAAAAGGAUAGUUUGGAAAUUUAGUUAAAAUAUAAGAGAUAUAAAAGUAAUUUUCAUGGUCAAAGAAAAUGACUUUAAUCACUUAGAAAAAAAAAGUUAGGAAUCCUAACUUUUCAUUUUUGACUGACUUUAAGAACUUUAUGGCUUAAAGUUAGCAUUAGGCAAAUACGUCAAAAAACUAAAAAGGACUUUAAGUUGGUCAAACGGGCUCUAUUUCAUGGGUGAUCGUUAGACUUUACUACUGUUAAAAUUGUUAUGUUUCUUUGCUAAAUUGGAGGGUAUGUCCCCACUUUCUAUAAGUACUUUUGUACUGUAAAUAACAGGUUGUUAUCCCUCUCUAGAACUUUUUUUGGCUCUAAGUUGUUUGCAGCUUUGCCCAUCUGCAUGUCUAUCUCGAUUUUGGUAUGUUUGUCUGUCUACUUUUUUUAUUAUGUCAAAAGGGGGAGAAAGCACAAAUUAUCUUAAGGAACUAAAUAAGGGGGAGCGUCGCCAAUUCUCUUGGAAAUCAUGUGCACCUAGCAAGGGGAAGCUCAACAGGAAAGUACCCUAAUUUUGUUUGUGCUUAUUAUUUGUCGAUAUCAAAAGGAGGGAGAUUGAUAGGUUGAAAUUAAUUAAGAUAAGUUUUAUUAUGACAAAUAACAUUUGUAAUCUUUGCAGGAAAGAAGACAUUAUGAGAGUAAAUCACUAUAUAAGCAACUUACAUAAAUCAAGGAGAAUAUCCAGUCAAAUGCAAGGAAAGAAGAUCAGAGCCUAAGGAGCUGGAGUAUCUAGAAGAAAAGAAGAUCAUGAAUGAGAAGCCAGCUGGAAUAUCUACCAGGAAAGAAGAUCACGAAUAGGAAGAAGAAAAUCAGUGUAUCUCAAUCAGAUCUACAACCAGAAAAGAAGAUCAGAAUUUGAAAGAGUUGGAACGCUCAGAAGGAAAGAAGAUCGAGAAUACAAGGUAGAAAACCUCCACAAAUCAAGGGAAAAAUCAAUGCAAGCAAAUCUCAGAGGAAAAAAGACUAGAAGGUUAAUUGACUUAUUCAUGCACAUAUCUGAUAUAGACGUGUACUUUCAUCCAUCCUCUAUCAAGUAAUCAUUACAAAUUCUUGAUUGAAAGAAACUCCCUUGGGUUUUCCUUUUAGAGCACUCAGAGCCUCAAGACAAGCAGUCCUAUAAAAAGCACUCCCUCUUUGAAGUACAACUACGCAACUUCAUUUGAACUUGUACUCCAUCUGUUUUCUGUCAUCUUUCAUAAUACUCUGUAAUCUUGCAAAGACUAUAAUUUUUAAAGAAAAGAGAAAGAAGAGAACUGUAUAGGUUAUAUGGGUAGAGGCUGUGUCAACUCAAGUUGUAUCUGGUAUAGAUCAGAUAUUGUCAAGCUCGAACCAUAUGUACUCUCAUCAUUCACAAAGUCUCUAAAGAAAAUUCUUGUAAUUCAAGGAGACUAGAAGUAGGCAUCACAUUGGUGUACCGAACUAGUAUAAAAACAUCCUGUCUCAAUUUAUUUUUCGCACUUUAUCUUUUAUUAUAUGUAAAACUAAUCAACAGGAUAAGUCGACUA
Long non-coding RNA from Solanum dulcamara, 2612 nucleotides. RefSeq lists it as uncharacterized. NCBI's taxonomy places the organism in Eukaryota, Viridiplantae, Streptophyta, Magnoliopsida, Solanales, Solanaceae. The transcript has 2 exons. The record is from RefSeq and is a predicted model, not a curated record.